CAGUAGCCGCGGUAAUACGUAGGGUGCGAGCGUUAAUCGGAAUUACUGGGCGUAAAGCGUGCGCAGGCGGUUCGUUAAGACAGAUGUGAAAUCCCCGGGCUUAACCUGGGAACUGCACUUGUGACUGGCGAGCUAGAGUAUGGCAGAGGGGGGUAGAAUUCCACGUGUAGCAGUGAAAUGCGUAGAGAUGUGGAGGAAUACCGAUGGCGAAGGCAGCCCCCUGGGCCAAUACUGACGCUCAUGCACGAAAGCGUGGGGAGCAAACAGGAUUAGAUACCCGCGUAGUCCCUGUCUCUUAUAC
RNAcentral lists this ribosomal RNA (301 nucleotides) under uncultured bacterium. RNAcentral's name for it is "partial 16S ribosomal RNA". It matches the Rfam family "Bacterial small subunit ribosomal RNA", at positions 509 to 807 of the family's 1533-position model. The record is from RNAcentral.